UACGUAGGGUGCAAGCAUUAAUCGGAAUUAUUGGGCGUAAAGGGCGCGUAGGCGGAUGGGUAAGUCAGAUGUGAAAUUCCGGGGCUCAACCUCGGAGCUGCAUAUGAAACUGCAAAUCUGGAGGGUUGGCGGAGAAAACGGAAUUCCACGUGUAGCGGUGAAAUGCGUAGAUAUGUGGAAGAACACCGGUGGCGAAAGCGGUUUUCUAGCUAACACCUGACGCUGAGGCGCGAGAGCAAGGGGAGCAAACAGG
This 253-nucleotide ribosomal RNA is filed under the name uncultured bacterium. RNAcentral describes it as "partial 16S ribosomal RNA". It matches the Rfam family "Bacterial small subunit ribosomal RNA", at positions 524 to 776 of the family's 1533-position model. The record is from RNAcentral.